CAAUGAAAAUACACUAACAGUAGAGCUUCUGCUCCGAAUUUCCUUCAAAACCCGCAAUGCUGAAAUGGUGCUCUUCAUAUAUGAACUCUCCAUAAGUUCAAUCUCUGCAAGUUCUUUGCGCACUCUGAGAGGGGGUGGUAGCCGAAGUUGAAGGAUCACAUCCUUCGUCCCCAUCAACUGCUUCAACCAAUGAUGGUGAUUCAUAUAUGGGGAAAAGGCGAUCAAGCAUUG
RNAcentral lists this unclassified non-coding RNA (231 nucleotides) under Hevea brasiliensis (rubber tree). Lineage: Eukaryota; Viridiplantae; Streptophyta; Magnoliopsida; Malpighiales; Euphorbiaceae. The record is from RNAcentral.